Long non-coding RNA from Camelina sativa (false flax), 360 nucleotides. RefSeq lists it as uncharacterized. NCBI's taxonomy places the organism in Eukaryota, Viridiplantae, Streptophyta, Magnoliopsida, Brassicales, Brassicaceae. The record is from RefSeq and is a predicted model, not a curated record.
CUCACUAGUUUUAGGGCGUUUCUCCAUUGGCAGGUCCCUUCCAUCACAUAUAUAUGCAUCGAAAUUUUCCCAUGAUCGAUUUGUAUAUGAUCUGCCAAAGGAGAGUUGCCCUGAAACUUGUUCAGCUUAAUUAAGAUUUAAGCACGUGAACGAGAGCAGUAAGUCAGUAACCAAAGAUGAAACUGCUGAGGUUUGAGGAAGCGACAUUCAGGUGGAUACCAAAAACGAUGAAUGUUGCAGCUGGUCUUUUAGCCAAUGCUGCAAUUCCUAGAAAUGUUCUAUUUGCUUAAAUCGAUUCAUUUCUCAAUUGUAAUGCAUACAAGCUAUCUUGUUUCAGCAUAUGUAUAUCGCUUUGACUUU